GACAGAGGCCUCAAGCGUUGGGCGGAAUCACUGGGCUUAAAGCGUGUGUAGGCGGAUCGUUAAGUGUCUUGUGAAAUCCCACGGCUCACCCGUGGAACUGCUGGGCAUACUGGCGAUCUUGGGCCAACUAGGGGGCAACUGGAACAAGCGGUGGAGCGGUGAAAUGCGUAGAUAUCGCUUGGAACGCCAAAGGUGAAAAACAGGU
Molecule: ribosomal RNA, 205 nt
Filed under: uncultured bacterium
Lineage: Bacteria
Description: partial 16S ribosomal RNA
Rfam family: Bacterial small subunit ribosomal RNA
Source: RNAcentral